UAUUAUACUAAAUUUUUUUUUUAAAAACUAAAAUAUUAUAAGAUAGAAUCUUUAAAUUUAAAGAAUUUGGCGGUAAAUUAGUCUUUUCAGAGGAACCUGUUUUUUAAUCGAUAGUCCACGAAAAAUCUUACUUGUCUUAUAAUAUAAGUUUGUAUACCGUCAUUAUUAGAUAAUAUUUAAAGAUUUAUUAUUAAGUUUUAAAAUAAAUAAAAUAAAUUAGAUCAAGGUGCAGCUCAUGGACAAGUUUAAAUGGGUUACAAUUAAGUUUAUUAAUUAAUGGAAUUUAAAUUGAAAAAUUUUUAAGAAAUUGGAUUUGAUUGUAAUAUAAGUUUAAUAUGCUAAAGAGAUAUAAGCUCUAAUUUAU
Molecule: ribosomal RNA, 364 nt
Filed under: Tyche emarginata
Lineage: Eukaryota; Metazoa; Arthropoda; Malacostraca; Decapoda; Epialtidae
Description: partial 12S ribosomal RNA
Source: RNAcentral